CCUACGGGGGGCAGCAGUGAGGAAUAUUGGUCAAUGGACGAGAGUCUGAACCAGCCAAGUAGCGUGAAGGAUGACUGCCCUAUGGGUUGUAAACUUCUUUUAUAUGGGAAUAAAAUGUUCCACGUGUGGGAUUUUGUAUGUACCAUAUGAAUAAGGAUCGGCUAACUCCGUGCCAGCAGCCGCGGUAAUACGGAGGAUCCGAGCGUUAUCCGGAUUUAUUGGGUUUAAAGGGAGCGUAGGUGGAUUGUUAAGUCAGUUGUGAAAGUUUGCGGCUCAACCGUAAAAUUGCAGUUGAUAAUGGCAGUCUUGAGUACAGUAGAGGUGGGCGGAAUUCGUGGUGUAGCGGUGAAAUGCUUAGAUAUCACGAAGAACUCCGAUUGCGAAGGCAGUUCACUGGACUGCAACUGACACUGAGGCUCGAAAGUGUGGGUAUCAAACAGGAUUAGAUACCCGGGUAGUC
This 460-nucleotide ribosomal RNA is filed under the name uncultured bacterium. RNAcentral describes it as "partial 16S ribosomal RNA". It matches the Rfam family "Bacterial small subunit ribosomal RNA", at positions 338 to 795 of the family's 1533-position model. The record is from RNAcentral.